AGGGAAAUGUUUGUCUCUUCUGAAGUUCUAUCCUGGUCGAUCCGUGAUGACCUGUAAACUUCUUUUACAGUGUAUUAGAAGAGGACAUCCAGAAAGGAAACUCAAACCAAAUAUCACAUCAAAAUCUAACAGCGGCACUCAAUUCAUCAGAACCUGGAUAUAAUCGUCUUUUCAGUGUGUUGCUCACAGAACUGAGAUUAGAAUCAGCGACAGACCAGUUAAGAGCCAGUUUAUAGGACAGUGGCCUUUUCGUUGCAGAUGUUAAUUCCUUGACUCCAGUCUGGGUCCUUUUUCAUCAAGUCAUAGAAUCAUUGAAUGAUUACAGUACUGACGGAGGCUAUUCAACCUGUCCUGCCUGUGCUGGCUGUCUGCAAGAAUAAACUAGCUGGUCCCACUCCCCUGCCCUUUCACGAACACAAGACCAGCAGCAGAUAUGACCAAUCCCCAGUUACCUGUGGAGAAGAUGAUGUUUGACCUUCUUGAACUGCUGCAAUCUGUGGUGAAGGUGCUCCCACAAUGCUAUUAGAUAACCCUUUGGGGUCCUUGGCUUUAUCAAUGGAGACAUGGAGAACAAAAAUCAGAGUGUUGGAGAUUCAGUUACUCAGCCAUCAGAGAGCGGGAGAGAAGGUGGAACAAUCACUUCAAUAUGUACCUAUAGCACUGCAUAAAACUUGUAUUAUUUAUAUUGGUGCCGGCAACAACCAGACAAGGAGCUCCAGUUUGUUGUGUGGAGAUGGUCUUGGGAUGAACAACAACAGACAGGAGAUGACUUCGGAAUUUGUUUCUCAUCUGAGCUCCAGGCCACGACUAAGUUCACCAGUUUAACUGUUUCGGGGCUGCGCUCUCUCUCAGACUCAUAAUGAUGGAAAACUGUUUCAACUCUGUACAAAACCUACCUUUGGACUGUGGCUGGGCGCUCCUGUCUGUUGUGUGUCAGAUAGGAUCUUGGCAGAUACAGCCAUAAUGCGGCUGUCAGGCGCUCAGACACAGAUCUAGAGGAAAUCAAAUUAACCUCGGGUCAAACUAUCACACAACUGUCUCCAGGAGCAGCCGAGAAAACAAAUUGAAGAAUCCAAUCAGAUGGACAGACCCGUCAGAGAAUCAAUGUACAGGUUAAACCUUCCUUCCCGCUUCUGAUCAAAUAUUUAUCUCCUUAAAAUCAUGGCUCAAUAUUCAGAUCAGCACAGAGACAACGAUUGCUGACACUCAAAAAUAUUCCUCAGUGUCACAGAAUCAGUCUGUUGUGAGCCCUUCACACAAGAAGCUGCUUCCUGUCUCCAUCUCAGUGUGCGUCAGCUCACAGCAGCGUGACUCAGCACCAUUUCAGCACCUGACCGCCCUUAUAUCAGGCGUCAGCAGCUGGAGCCCAGGUAUCCAGAGCGAGGGGAGUUUCUGUUUUAGAGUUUCACUGGUUUCUGUCACUGUGAGUCUCGGGGAGCAGUAACACUCUCCAGUGUCUGUCAGUUGCAGCCCCCAGAAAGUCAACAUGGUGAACUUAAGCUCUGCAGAGAAACGGGCAGUUGUAAAAUCUGCUUUAUCUGCAUAACCGCUGGUAUAUUUCAUCAGAAUAAACUCAGGCUGUGUGUCUGGGGGAUGCCGGGACAAGUAUAAAUAAUUGAUGCUCCGUGUACCCUCAUAGAGACAGUGCAAAGUCACCACUAAUGUAACUUCCUGAGGACAGCGGUUGAGUGACUGAAUCUCCAAGGCUCAGAUCUGAAGAAAAUGUUCGAACAAGAAAAGCUCAGUCCUGUGGGUUUUAAAAAUUCUGACUCAAAUAAUGUUCAGAAAACGAAUUAAAUAAGUAAAUGUGUUUAACCCAUAAUUACCUGUCAGAAACGCAUCCCACACAAUUCAGAUGCUGAGGAACCGCGUUGUCUCUAUCUGCUCUGUGAAAGGAGAGCUGGAUAUUUGAAGACAACCGUUCAAAACACCACCCUCAAUAAUCUGCUGUCGUGUCUCAGGAUGUUCUCACCUUCUCAUGUCAGUGAAUGGAAACACCCCGAGCUGGGUUACAGUCAGUCUGUUUACAGCGGGAAUGGUUCCACUGUUACAGACCAAGUGGGAAUAACAUUCCUGUGUGACAUGGUGGAGGUUUACUGACCUUCUGGCUAAAUCAGCACACAUGAAGUCUACGAUUCCUCAAUUUAAAUGUGCAGGUUAGUGUAGCAUUACUUUCCUCAUUGACUGUCACAAGGGGAUCCCUUCCACUUUCCACUGUUUCUUUGUUAUACAGACAUAAAAUAAUAGUAAUGAUCACCAUCACCACCACCAUCAUCAUCAUUGAAACCUCUGAUAAAUCUCUGGAAAGGCAGCUAGCUCCCUGCAACAGAGAAGAUUCCCCACGUGUCAAACUUGGGUGGAUGUUUGAAUCUUGAAGCAAAAUAUGAUAAUCAACAUCAAGUUCAGAACUAUCAUGUUACAGGAUAUCUGUAAUCACAGAAGAGUAAAGGUACAUUAUUAGCAGUA
This is an RNA transcript of Carcharodon carcharias (great white shark), 2466 nucleotides long. It is a transcript of the gene named zinc finger protein 229-like, with no coding region annotated. Lineage: Eukaryota; Metazoa; Chordata; Chondrichthyes; Lamniformes; Lamnidae. The record is from RefSeq and is a predicted model, not a curated record. The transcript is spliced from 4 exons.